UACGAAGGGGGCUAGCGUUGCUCGGAAUCACUGGGCGUAAAGCGCACGUAGGCGGCUUGCUAAGUCAGGGGUGAAAUCCUGGAGCUCAACUCCAGAACUGCCUUUGAUACUGGCGAUCUUGAGUCCGGGAGAGGUGAGUGGGACUGCGAGUGUAGAGGUGAAAUUCGUAGAUAUUCGCAAGAACACCAGUGGCGAAGGCGGCUCACUGGCCCGGUACUGACGCUGAGGUGCGAAAGCGUGGGGAGCAAACAGG
RNAcentral lists this ribosomal RNA (253 nucleotides) under uncultured bacterium. Its description in RNAcentral is "partial 16S ribosomal RNA". It matches the Rfam family "Bacterial small subunit ribosomal RNA", at positions 524 to 776 of the family's 1533-position model. The record is from RNAcentral.